AGGGUUCGAUUCUGGCGUCAGGAUUAACGCUGGCGGCGUGCCUAAUACAUGCAAGUCGAAUGGUAGUAGCAAUACAAACCAUGGCGAACGGGUGAGUAACACGUAGGCAACCCAACUUUAAGACGAGGAUAACCGUUGGAAACGACGGAUAAUACUGGAUAGGACAUCACAAAGGGCAUCCUUAGAUGUUUAAAGGUUACCAUGCCACUUAGAGAGGGGCCUGCGGCGCAUUAGCUAGUUGGUGAGAUAACAGCCCCACCAAGGCGAUGAUGCGUAGCCGGACUGAGAGGUUGAACGGCCACAAUGGAACUGAGAACGGUCCAUACUCCUACGGGAGGCAGCAGUAGGGAAUUUUCGGCAAUGGGCGGAAGCCCUGACCGAGCAACGCCGCGUGAACGAAGAAGUUAUUCGUAAUGUAAAGUUCUUUUAUCUGGGAAGAAAAAACAAAUUGACGGUACCAGAUGAAUAAGCUCCGGCUAACUACGUGCCAGCCGCCGC
Molecule: ribosomal RNA, 498 nt
Filed under: uncultured bacterium
Lineage: Bacteria
Description: bacterial SSU rRNA
Rfam family: Bacterial small subunit ribosomal RNA
Source: RNAcentral